UAUCUCUCCGUACGGGGAAGGAUGAGAAGCUUCGACUAAGGUUCGAUUCGAGCGCAGCGAGAAAGCGUUGCCGCAGGCAACGACCCGAAGGGCGAAGCGCGCAGCGCUGAAUCAUCCUUCCCCCACCACCA
RNAcentral lists this small RNA (131 nucleotides) under Salmonella enterica. RNAcentral describes it as "RtT sRNA". It matches the Rfam family "RtT RNA". Rfam says of the family: This family represents a bacterial cis-regulatory element known as RtT RNA. The exact function of RtT is unknown although it is thought that it may be involved in changing the cellular response in relation to amino acid starvation. The record is from RNAcentral. RNAcentral also lists the same sequence under 1 other name. Lineage: Bacteria; Pseudomonadati; Pseudomonadota; Gammaproteobacteria; Enterobacterales; Enterobacteriaceae.